This 7125-nucleotide long non-coding RNA is filed under the name Gallus gallus (chicken). Its description in RNAcentral is "lncRNA (ENSGALG00010026873.1)". Lineage: Eukaryota; Metazoa; Chordata; Aves; Galliformes; Phasianidae. The record is from RNAcentral.
UUUUUCCCUUCCCCUUCCCCCAUCGUUUUGUAAGGGGCUGUGGAAGGAGAAAGAGAGCAGGGAGCGGCGCACAAGAUGGCGGCGGCGGGGAGCGCCCUGCGGCAGCGGGCGGCGCGGGGCUGGCGGGGCUCCAGGCAGGGGGGGGGUGGGGGGAGGACAAAGGCAGCGCGCAUCCUGCGGGCUGGGCACCUAUAAAUAACGCAGCCCGCCCCUCAGCCUUCCUCCCUUCCCCCAGCCGGUUUUAUAAAUACCAAAGGCUGAAAACAGUCUAAAUGCAAAGGGGGGAGGAAAAAAAGAGGAACAAACACCACCACCCCAACUGUAAAAUGGGGGGCGUGGGGGGGAAGAAGGCAAGCUAAUGAGCAGUUGGAGCCAACGUGCCGGGGGAGCGCUCCCCGCUGCCGUCACAUGGCUCUGCGUUGUUUUCCUCCUUCUCCCCCCACCGCCGGUGCGGCAGAGCGGCGGCUGCCUCCGCCCGCCCGUGGCCUCGGAUGGCGGGGAGGAGCCCCGCGGCCUCCCCGGCCCUCAGCCCCGGGUCCUGCUGAGCUGCUCCCUCAAAUCAGAUAGCAAAGCCCGGCUUCGGCGGGCGGAAGGCACACAAAGCCCACCUAGAGGGGUGCCUGGGCCAGGCCAUGCAGCCCAGCGGUGGGAGGGAUGAGGAAAGCAGCCAUUGCAAGUCCUGAGCUGAAGUUGGUUUCCACACCAUCCACAACACCACUGCUGCUGUUCUUCCCCUCUUCUCCAGGAGCAGCUGAUGCAGAGCAGUACUUGCUCCAUCCCUGGCACACUGGCUUGUCUUUCCCCUGCAGAUCAGUCAGCUGUUUGGGAAGAUGCUGCUCUCAGCAUCUAAAGAGUGGUUCCUGUGGCAUGAAAUUAUCACAAACUCCUUCUGUAUUGCAUAGAGGUGUAAAAAGCUGUCACAAACAUCUUCAGGGUUAUUGUGACCAAAAGAGACUGCAGUCCCACCACCGUUCAGAUGCCCACAUGAAAAAAUACCUGAUGGUCUCAGCACCUAACGUGCAAUUGGCUGCCAGGUGCCAGAAGAGUUGGGAGGGUGGAAAGGACUUCUGCGUUCCUCUUUCUGGAUCCUCCAGGCAGACUCACGGGGCACAUUUCUAUAGGAGUGUAGGGGAGAGGAACCAAAGCCUGUACAGCUGUUGCCUUACCUGUCCAGGCCCAGUGAGCCUGGAGGCUUGGGACUGAGCAUGCUUUUCCCCAAGUCCAAAAUCGAGCCCUGAAAGGAAACUGAGGUCACCACACAGUCCUACAGUGGGAAGGGUUUGCUACAGGCUAUUUGUGUGCAUGUCUAUGACAAACCAAUAAAAAACUUGACAGACACACCUCUGGAUAUGUUUCAUACUUGGAAGAUUUCGUCUUAGAUCUCUGACUUAGAGUGAUGCUGUUUUUGCAUCCAUUUGUCUGGAGUCUUUGAACAGACACAGCCUAUACUGCCAUGAUACUGAAGAUCAUUAAAGGUCUGGGGGCACUGACACUUUCCAAGUAGCUUCAGCUGCGUGUCACAAAGGGGCAUUUUGAGUAUGAUGUGCGCCCUAAGUUUAAUUAGAAUCUGCCUGCCUUAAGAAACCAGAGCUGCUAUGUUAAUCCCAGUAAGCAACUGGGAGCUUCACAGUGUGCCUGCUGUGACAAUACAAGACAGGAAGGAUGAAGCAUGUGUAGGAAGAGAGAAAUGCACAGGAAAUGGUAUCAGGGGCAGCAGGAUAGGAUGACAUAAUUAGAACUGAGUUCAUUUCUCAGCCCUGAGUUACUCACUAGCCUGCUCUGAGCUUUGCUGGUUCUUUGUGAGGUCUGCUCUCAGCUUAGCUCAGGCUGCUCUGUACUUUGCCCAGGGAUGCUCACACAUGCCACAAACUUCUCUGGUUCUCCACACAUGAGCUUCCAUCCAGAUACAAGCAAAGCUGCUCAGCUCUCCCUGUGUGUGUAGCACUCAGUGGGCAGAAGUUAUGGUGUCUCCCAGUGGAAGAUGAGCAAAGCAUUCCAUCUCCUCUUCAGUUGGUGGUUGCUGUCCUCCCUAGGAAGUUUGUACUAGCCAUGGCUGUACCAGCCAUGUGUGAGAAUACACACUGGGCACAUGGAUGUUGGUGCCAUACACAGCAAACACCUGCCUUUAUUUCAUUCACAGCCUUCUCUCUCACAGCUCACACACUAUCAUUGUUUUCUCCCCCUCUUUACUCCGUUUCCUCCCAUUUCUGUCCAAAAGCUAGGAGAGCUUCCUGCCAAGGCCACGUGCCCAGGAGAGUGAUGGUUAAUGGAUCGCUAAUAAAGUGUUGAUUAACAGCUCUAAAAACUUGCAUUGUUCAGGUUUCAUCCUACCUCACACAGUGGAAGGCAUGUUUAGCAAACCAAACCCAGCAUCAUCUAAACAUGUGGUUCUCAAAAUCCUCUCCAAAAAGCGUAACUGAACCUAUUUCAGGUUUGAUGGAAUCUACUAACUGCCUUUUGGCAAGCAUAACCCAGCAAGGAAAGCCAUUUACAGUCCCUUUCCAUCCUGACGGACUACUCUCUGCUGCAGACAUGGACACAGAAAAGCAUCUGAAGCGGAUGAAUUUUAUGCAGUUCUGUAGCAGAGCCCUCAGUGCUCACAUGGCCACGAGGAAGCCUGCACAUCACUCCUGAACCUGCUUCUUUUGACAGUUCCCAUGGUGAAACCAACCACACACAACCACAGAUCUCGCCUAAGACAAAGCAUGUUGGAUCCUUCUAGAUUUGCUUUCUAGCAUAGAGGUAGAGGAUGAGAUCCAGCAUCACCUAGCUCUGCCAGCAAGUGUUGACAAAUUCCUCACCAUCCGUCCAUGAAGCCAUGCAGCACAUCUGGGAGACACAGAUCUGUGGGGCCAGAGGUAGGCUGGUGUUGGCAGAUACUUGCUCAUUUCAUGCUUUUCAGAAAUUAGUCAUUGCGCUUUGAUGUUCCAGAAACACAUAGGAUGAUCUUAACUUUGCUUUACCCGUUUUUGUUUUCAACUGAAUUUGGCAUGAGAAUUCACGCUUCAGAGAAGUCCAGAUGACUUAAGCCUGCUCCUAAGCACCUCCUGUGCCAGGCUGACACAUUGCUAUGUUGAUUUAUAUACUUUUCAAAUUCUUAAGAUUAUUUUUCCACUGAUGAAAAGCCAGGAACUCAAGUUUUAAUGAAAGGUAAGAUUCAAAAUACAGCACACUAGCCAUGCAUGUGUCAAGUAAGCCAAAUUUGGCCCGCAUGGCUGGCAUCCCUGAUUUAAAGCAUACCAGAGAAAUACCCAUGAAACAGUAUGCACUCCCUAUAAAUAGCUGCUCUCUAGGUAGCAGUCAAGCUGUGGUUUAUGGACAAAAAUCAGUCCAACUGUAUCACAGUACCUGAAUAUUCUCUGCUUCUGAUGAGUUGUGUGUGUAACUUGGCCAAUACCUCCCAUUGCAGAUAGUUGUCCUGUUUUCUUUCAUAGCCCUCUGAACUCUCUGGUAGCAUUUGGACAGGUUUUAUGUGGAGUUUAUUGAAAGAUUUUUGCAGUGAUUUACUGCAUGGGCUACUUAAGCCAAGUAAAACAGGAAUUCUAGUCCUCAGGCAUGAAAAGGCAGAAAGGAAAUUUUCUUAUUGAAAUAUAAUUUUUCCACAUUACUUAAUAGUCUAGAAAGUUAAUGCCAUUUUACUGGAAAAAAAAAUAUACAGUUCCCACUGAGCCGAACAAGAAUACAAUAAUGUUUUAGGUUGGGUUAAACCCCUUAGCAAUUGGCAGGUGUCACAGCCUCCUUGCCUUCAGUGAAAAAGGCAAUUGAGAUCCCUCCUGAAACAAGGGAUUUGCAUCAGUAGCAGCUACUACACAAAAACCAGGCACAUGGCAAGGUCUGAAUAGAUGGUGAAUCAUGUGGCCCAGGGGAUUUUUCUGGAUUUUGGGGGCGGGAGUGUGUGUGUAAAAUAUCAGGCCACAAGGACCAGAUGGUAGAGCUCUGCAUGUGCAUGAGAAACAGCAAGUAGCACUACAGAAAUGGAUACUGAGAAGCAGCUGAAAGUCCAGGAGGGUGGGAGCUUUGAUUUGGAGAUUUCCUGUGUUGAGUGAGGGCCGAAAGAAGCUCAGGACUGUGAGCAAAAACACAACUGAAAAAGCAAUUUCAUACAGCUUUUCUGUAAAUAAAUGGAAUUGCCUUGAGCAUGUACUUUACUUUGUCACAGCAUUUUCCUCUUACACUGAUAUUCACCAAUAACUUCUUUGUGUGGGCAGGGCACACAGUUGACUUCUCCUACAUUAUAGUUCGUCAUUCCCUAUCUGCCCUGUCAGCUCACACAGUAAAUUCUAUGGGACUGAGAUUAUUCUUUACAUUUUGUGCAUUACAAACAACUGUGGCAUUUAUAUAACAUUGGACAUUUACUGGAAAUUCACUCUACUUGCAUGUUAAGUCCCAUUCUGUAGGGUCUGUCUUUCCUUUUGAGACUGUAAACACUUCGGGGCUUUAUGUCUUGCUCUAUAUGUACAUGCUAUAGCUCAGUGGGAAUUCGUCAUUGAUAACACAAAGUAUCACUGUUCAUCUUUGAAGACAAGCAUUUAAGGCUUUACCUCAUUAUGAACAUUCUUAACUAAGUUUAUGAGUAUUUCUUUGACAUAAAUUGAGCACUUAUUGUAAAUUUUAAGUCUCUGUAAAGCUUGGGUCUGUAUUAUCAAGAAGAAAAUUCUUAAGUGUAUUUCAAGAGUUUCAUUUUUAAAGACACUCUAGAAAAAGUGGGUAACCAUUCUUGUCUCAUUUAUAGUACCAUAUAAGCUAAUAGCGUGAGCAUACAGCAGAUGGCGUUUGCUGCUGCUGCUCUCUGCAGUUGUAGCUACAAGGAAGUACCAUCAGUCUGACACUUUGCUGGCUAGCUAAAAUAGUCAUAUUUUCCAUUAAAAAUAUUACUGCAAGGCACACAUAUCAGCCUAAGAGCACGCACUGUGACACAGCUUAAGUGAUUGGAAACUCAUAACUUUAACAGCAUUAAGAGUUCCUUUAAUUGAAAAAAUGUAAUUAUCCAGAAUAUUUUGUCAAACCCAUUAACAUAUUUACUAUUAAUAACAGUUUUUGUUACCAUUUUGCACAAUUUAGCAUUACGCUUCUCUUCCCCUACUUAAUUCUCUGUAGUUGCAAAACUCGAAGACCUUUAGUAGUAUUAUAUCUGUUAUCUUUUUUAAGCACAUUGUGAAGGACAGAGAGCCAUAACGUGAGCACAUUGGUAUUGCUCCCUUAGGAGGUCAGGCUAAUGGCACACCUGAUGUUCCUACGUGAAAACAACCAAACUGCCCAGGAGAUUGGAACACUUUUCGUUGAGUGGUAUUUUGAGGAAUUUCAUCACACUGUAUCUAAAUGGUUAUAGCUUCAAUAUUAAACCAAACGGAGAGUCUUUUUCCUGAAAACUAACCCAAAUCACCCAUAAAGGCCAUCUAAACUCUUAAAGCAUCUUUCAAAAACCAUAUGCUUCCAGCAGUUUUCCUAGGCAGUGUGCUUACCUUUCUCCCCUUCCUAUUAUUUUUCUCAGCAACUGUGAAGCACCAAAUAAGUGACAGUAAUGGAACACAGAUAUUUACCAUACCCCAUUGCAACUCUGAUUUUGGUGCGCUCACUGUACACACUCCUAAGACUGCAGAUGUGUAAGCUUUUGAUGACACAGAACUUGUGCCAAAAUUGAUGUAUAGGCCAAAACCGGAGAAGUACACUUGCAAUUAAUAGUGAUUAGAUUUGAAUUUCACUAAUAGAGGGUUGCAUUUUUGUCCAUUUAAAUCAGUGGCAGAAUUCCAUAUUAGAUUUUACUUUUCAGUCAGCAAAAUACACCGCUUUUGCAUGGCACUUUUUAUGUCUGAAGAACUGCAAACCCAUUAAUUAAAAAUAAGCAUCAGAGACACUGAAAUGCUGUGUAAUUACAGGAAAACUAGCAAGUCUAUUUGUUGAUCACACCAUAGUAUGCCAUUCGUUUCGAGCCAAGUUCAAAAGAAUUGUUUCAGUGUAAAACAAAUCACUUUUGGACCAUUUAUUGUUAUGCAAUACUUGAAUGCCCUCAGCCCCUGCAACCUUGUGGAGCUGACAGCUUUUGCUAUCUUGCAGAUCAGAUAUUAAAGAUGAUGGUUCAUACAGGAUCUUUUUGUGUAUCCUACAUGCUCAUGUCAAGUAUUUCCUCAGUAAAAUGGUUAGCUUUAAACAGAUGUGAGAUUGGCUACCUUUUUUUUUUUCCUUCUUUAUUUGAAGUAUAUGACAUUUUGCAUGCCUGUCCUCCCUCUAUCACUGAAACACUUUUUUUCUUUCUGCUUGCCCUGCACACAAAGCAGGGCCUUCCUUGAAAGAAGUUAUUCCCAGACAUGAGGAGCACAGUUGCGCUGUGUUCAGUCUGGAAGGCCAUCUAGUGACACAACUGUGCAGAACUGCAGAAGGGCUUGGCUUGGAAGGGACCUCAGAGAUCACCUAGUUCCAACUCUGAUUGACAAGAGGAAGAGAACGGGCCUGAAGGGGGAUAGAGCAGACCUGAGGUGCCUGUGGCUGCAUGAACUCUUCGCAGGGUGUUAUGCUCUGAACAGAAGCACUCAGGGCAACAGUUAUUGGCCUUAAGCUGCACCAGGAGAGGUUCAGGUUCAGUAUUAGGAAAUAUUUCUUCUCAGAAAGAGCACUGGCAUAGGCUGCCCAGGGAGGUGGUGGGGUCACUGUCCCUGGAGGUGUUCAAGAACCAUGAAGAUGUGGUACUGAGGGAUGUGGUCAGCAGGCACAGGGUGAUGGGUUGAGGUUGGACAGGAUGACCUCAGAGGUCUUUUCCAGCCUGACCGCUCUUUCUGAGAAGUUGUUCCUAAUAUCCACCCUGAAUCUCCCCUGGAACAACUUAAGGUCAUUACCUCUUGUCCUAUCAAGUAGGUGUCUGCAGGCUUUGACAUCUCUGUAACUAAAACAUAUCAUUCUGUUUGACUUCUAUGACAGCUCACCCUGAACACAAGGCACUGGGUACAGCAGGAGACACACAGUUUGCCACCGCGCCUCCCUGUGCCCCAUGCAGACGCGCUGUGGUACCUCAGGGCUCUCCUGUCCUUCAGCACAGCGCUUGGCCCGCACGUCCCUCAUCCAUCAGCGCCUGGAUCCACCGCGAUGGAAAUUUCCCCUUAGCGCAAAGUAAAGGGGCACGGCGUGUGAGAU